GUUAGUAAGGGUGUAAACGAACCGAGUCGAUCCGAGUAUUGAGUUGCUCAGAUUUGGUUUACAAAAUUUAUCGAGUAUAAAAUAAGAUUUGAUUGAGGCUCAUUUAGCUACCGAGUCGAGCACGAUUCCGAAUCGAGCUCGAGCAGUUUGGAAUUUUUUAACGAAUAUGAUCCGAGUAUCAAUAGUAAAUUAUAAUUUGAUGAGGUUCGAGUAAUUUAUCGAACUUUAUAAUGUGCUCAUAUUUGACUCAUUUAUAUUUCGAGUCGAGCUCGAAUCGAACUUUUAGUCGAGCGAGUCCGAAUCGAGUCCGAACUGUUUGCUCAUUUUACAACCUUAAUUGUUAGAGAAAUCACCGGACACCUCGAGAAAGCAAUUCUCUGAAUAUUCAUUAAAAUACGAAAGAACUGCAUUGCUGUCCUGCAACCUUCCCAAUCUGAAAUGUGCACAAUCAAAAGUUUAAAAAUACAGUAUAAGGAAAUAAGUCACUAAAUUCAAGGUACCAUCUGUAGUUAAGUAAGUUAACACUUCAAAAAUCUAUUUAAAGAGUAAUGAGGAGGGAAAAUAUACAAAAUAAAAAAAAUCUUAAAGAAUAUAAAAAAUUAAUGUCUAAGAAUCUUAGUUACAGUAAAACUAGAAUCGACAAUCACAAAAAAAUAUGCAAAUGACAAUCAUUGGACAAAAAAGUAUGUUUUUAGCCAGAGAGAUGCAUCAUUAUUUUAGGAAUGUUAUUCACAAAUAUAAAGGAGCACCUCUAACAAUUAUUCAGGUAAUCAUACCUUGAUGUACUACUAGCACAUAGGAAGUGAUUCAUUUGGCGUCGGUUAGUCAGUCAGAACUUACUUAUAUAUAAAUGUAGUAUAUGUUAGUAUAUAUUUUGUGAAGAUUCACUAAAAACAAUGUUGUUAUAGACUAUAGUAAAUUACAAUAUGUUAUUUAUAAAACAAAAUGCCUCUCAAUUUUGCUUGAGAGUAAUCAAAUGAAGUUAAAAAUCUCCAAUAGAUUCCCCCUUGAUAUUAACAUCUACCAUUAUCACAACUAGGAGUGAUCAUUCGGUUAUAACCGAACCGAAUAGGUUAUUCGGUUAUAACCAAAUACCGAAUUAUCUGUAAUUUUACUAUCCAAAACACUAACAGAAAUUUGGAACAAACCGAAUUACCGAAUACCAAAUUACCGAAUUGUACAUUUGGGUAUUCGGGUAAUAACUGAAAUGUUAUGUAAAAAGUAAUUUCAGAGACUAAAGAGGGGAAAUAGAUACAUCCAUAAAAGCUAAUUAAAGUGUUGACUGGAAAUUACAUCCAAGAAUUAUCAUUGUUCAUAACCUCCAGGCUCCAGGCAAACAAGCUUUAUCCUUUUUCUCCACUUUGCCACCCCGCAAUACAGCCAUCUUCUUUAACAAAACCCAACAAUCUCAGAUACUAAUCUCUAUUUAAUUCAAUCUUGAAAAUAUAAAAUCAACGAAUCAUCAAAUCUGCCACACCAAGUGCAUACAUUUAUAGAAAAAGCAAACACUAAUCAAAAUAAUAACACAUAUAGCCCAAAAUUAAACUUCAUUACAUCUAUUUAAUUACCAAAAUCACAAAUAAAUCUUAGUAAGGACCACUUUUUAGAUUCAACUCACUUCAUAUAAAGCUUUAUUUGACCGAAUAGGUUAGCCUCCAGCAACUCCUACGAUCAAGCUCGUCCAGUCAAAAAUCUUCCGCUACAAAGCCUUCGAGCCAAUAAGACCUCCUCAAUCGCCACCGUUUUGUCGGCGUCGACAUGAGGAUCGGCAUAGAUCUACGACAUCCGACAUCCGCCAGAGCAACAGAAGAAGGAGAUUUGAGGAGGAGCCGAAGAUCUGAGGUGAUGACUAGUGGAAGCCGAAGAAGAAGGUGUGAGCACUACUGGGUCUGGUCUGGGAGAUGAAUGAUGGUGACUGAUGAGUAAUAAUAGUAGUCAGUAGAUAAUAAAGUAGUGGAGUGAUG
Molecule: long non-coding RNA, 1964 nt
Filed under: Panax ginseng (ginseng)
Lineage: Eukaryota; Viridiplantae; Streptophyta; Magnoliopsida; Apiales; Araliaceae
Description: long non-coding RNA (PGIN_LNC012629)
Source: RNAcentral